UGGGGAAUUUUGGACAAUGGGCGAAAGCCUGAUCCAGCAAUGCCGCGUGUGUGAAGAAGGCCUUCGGGUUGUAAAGCACUUUUGUCCGGAAAGAAAUCCUUGGCUCUAAUACAGUCGGGGGAUGACGGUACCGGAAGAAUAAGCACCGGCUAACUACGUGCCAGCAGCCGCGGUAAUACGUAGGGUGCAAGCGUUAAUCGGAAUUACUGGGCGUAAAGCGUGCGCAGGCGGUUUGCUAAGACCGAUGUGAAAUCCCCGGGCUCAACCUGGGAACUGCAUUGGUGACUGGCAGGCUAGAGUAUGGCAGAGGGGGGUAGAAUUCCACGUGUAGCAGUGAAAUGCGUAGAGAUGUGGAGGAAUACCGAUGGCGAAGGCAGCCCCCUGGGCCAAGUACUGACGCUCAUGCACGAAAGCGUGGGGAGCAAACAGGAUUAGAUACCCUGGUAGUCCACGCCCUAAACGAUGUCAACUAGUUGUUGGGGAUUCAUUUCCUUAGUAACGUAGCUAACGCGUGAAGUUGACCGCCUGGGGAGUACGGUCGCAAGAUUAAAACUUAAAUGAAUUGAC
Molecule: ribosomal RNA, 567 nt
Filed under: uncultured bacterium
Lineage: Bacteria
Description: partial 16S ribosomal RNA
Rfam family: Bacterial small subunit ribosomal RNA
Source: RNAcentral